AAUCAACGCUGGCGGCGUGCCUCAGACAUGCAAGUCGAACGAGAAAGUCCCCUUCGGGGAUAAGUAAAGUGGCGCACGGGUGAGUAACACGUAGGUAAUCUACCUUCGGGUGGGGAAUAACCCAGGGAAACUUGGGCUAACACCGCAUAAUGCAGCGGCACCACAUGGUGACAGUUGUUAAAGCGGGGGAUUUUCGAACCUCGCGCCUGAAGAGGAGCCUGCGGCGGAUUAGCUAGUGGUGAGGUAACGGCUCACCAAGGUCACGAUCCGUAGCCGGCCUGAGAGGGCGACCGGCCACACUGGGACUGAGACACGGCCCAGACUCCUACGGGAGGCAGCAGUGGGGAAUCUUGCGCAAUGGGCGAAAGCCUGACGCAGCGACGCCGCGUGA
This 391-nucleotide ribosomal RNA is filed under the name uncultured bacterium. RNAcentral's name for it is "bacterial SSU rRNA". It matches the Rfam family "Bacterial small subunit ribosomal RNA", at positions 32 to 404 of the family's 1533-position model. The record is from RNAcentral.